RNAcentral lists this non-coding RNA (30 nucleotides) under Mus musculus (house mouse). The record is from RNAcentral. Lineage: Eukaryota; Metazoa; Chordata; Mammalia; Rodentia; Muridae.
UCAGCUUUCCUGCGGUGUUGGUGUUGGUUU